This 384-nucleotide ribosomal RNA is filed under the name uncultured bacterium. Its description in RNAcentral is "bacterial SSU rRNA". It matches the Rfam family "Bacterial small subunit ribosomal RNA", at positions 355 to 756 of the family's 1533-position model. The record is from RNAcentral.
UGGGGAAUAUUGCACAAUGGGCGAAAGCCUGAUGCAGCAACGCCGCGUGAGUGAUGAAGGCCUUCGGGUUGUAAAGCUCUGUCUUCUGGGACGAUAAUGACGGUACCAGAGGAGGAAGCCACGGCUAACUACGUGCCAGCAGCCGCGGUAAUACGUAGGUGGCAAGCGUUGUCCGGAUUUACUGGGCGUAAAGGAUGCGUAGGCGGAUACUUAAGUCAGAUUUGAAAAUCCCGGGCUUAACUUGGGAACUGCAUUUGAUACUGGGUAUCCAGAGUGCGGGAGAGGGAAGUGGAAUUCCUAGUUUAGCGGUGAAAUGCGUAGAGAUUAGGAAGAACUCCAGUGGCGAAGGCGACUUUCUGGACCGUAACUGACGCUGAGGCAUGA